Molecule: ribosomal RNA, 254 nt
Filed under: uncultured bacterium
Lineage: Bacteria
Description: partial 16S ribosomal RNA
Rfam family: Bacterial small subunit ribosomal RNA
Source: RNAcentral
UACGAAGGGGGCUAGCGUUGUUCGGAAUUACUGGGCGUAAAGCGCGCGUAGGCGGUUUUGCAAGCCAGAGGUGAAAUGCCUGAGCUCAACUUAGGAAUUGCCUUUGGGACUGCGAGGCUUUGAGGACUGGAGAGGUGAGUGGAAUUCCCAGUGUAGAGGUGAAAUUCGUAGAUAUUGGGAAGAACACCGGUGGCGAAGGCGGCUCACUGGCCAGUUUCUGACGCUGCAGCGCGAAAGCGUGGGUAGCAAACAGG